GUUCAUUCAGGACAACUGUUGCAAAUAGCAGGCAUUGGUCACUGCUUCCUCUCUCUGGUGCUUAGAUUUUCAGAGGAGAAACUCUUCCGGUUCCACAUAAAGUGUGCUCUGAAGAAAGCCCAACAGUCCUUCCUGACAACCAGCUUUUGCCACUUGAUGGGGAAAGAGCCAGUGCCUAACACAAGGGGGAAUCCUGAUCCAAGCAUUUCAGUACUACUGCAAUCCAAAUAAUGAAAAAGGAAAAGAGAGCUAGGCCAUAUGAGAAAGACACUGCUGCUUGGUGGCCAUGUGGAACGUGUUCCAAUUAUUACUGUAAACAAUAAACAGAAGUUAUUCAGCCAACUUUGUGACAAGAGCAAACCUUCUUUCAGUAUAUUUAUGAUUAUGAUGAAGUCUAGAAAUGAGCCACAAUAUAAAGUUUGGCUGCAAACUUCCCCACAUCUUGGUGGUUUUGCAUCUGGUGUUCCAGUACAGACCCAAUUCUGAUUAAACAUCAAAGGAGAAGGUUUCACUAUUUGUGUCUCAAACGUUACUAGAUACUGGCUGGGAGAGAAACAGGAUGUGUGAUUACUUUUAUCCCAAGGAAAGUAGACUUUUCAUCCAGCUCUUAGAAGGAUGCAGCCAAGUUUUGGUGAACAUAUUAUGGUUUUCAUCUCUGAAGCAUGCAAACCCUGAUGAAUACAUGAACUCCUUUAACUAAUUCAGAACUUUGUGCUUCCUGGUACUUCCAGGGGGAUCUGCUAGGAUGACAUGCAGAAACAUUGAGAACAAUGCACUCAGCGAUUUAUUUUGCUCCUGAUUUAAGCAGGAUUAUGAGGGGAAAACAUCUGAAUUGAGGUUAAAUUGUUCAUCUUGUAAAUCCCCAUUGCGGGUAGUUUCAGGACACACAUGCAUGUGUCAGGAAUGUUAUUCAAUCUGUUUAGUCGGGAUAAUAAUGGGAAGAUUCUCCCACACAACCUACUCACUAUAAAAAUCGGACUGGGCUUGGUGGCAAAUUAUGCCCUGAGGAAACCCGAAUGAUCUCCUGUAUCUGUAUGGCACUGCUGUAAUCAAGAGCAUUCAUUUGUGAUACUAUCCUUUAGCAAGAUUGGGAGAAACCACAGAGUUAUACCAUUUUUCCAGUGACUCUGUUUCUAGUCUGAGCAGGAUUUGAAGUAAUAAACCUGUUAAUGGGGAAGUCGAGUUGUAAAUCCCUAUUAUGUGGAUAGUAGUUCUAGAAAAUAUGUACGUCUUAUUGCACUUCUGAUGUUGGGUCUAAAUUGGCCCUUUUGGGUCCUAGUUAGCAAAUAUUGCUGCUAGGACCAAACAAUGUCUUAUUUACAGGGGAAAGUGAUGGUAGACACCAAGUUUCUCAACUGACCUUUCCUUUCUUCAGCCAGCAGCCAUGAGAAGUAAGGAUAUAUAGUAUGUUGUUGUAAUGGGGCCUAAUUAUGGGGCCAUAAUUUACCCUAAUUAUGAGUUCAACUAUAAGAAGUGAGUGAAAGCCAUAAAAUGUCACAAUAACCUGUAAGAGUAAAUGUUGACUGGGAAGGGGUGGGGGGUGGAGAGGAGUGUAAAAGGAAGACCGAGACUGAAUUAGUACAAACAAAAAGGCCUACUGAUACUACUCAAUGACUGUGCUAAGAUCAUGCCUGGUAACAUAAGAACAAUGUGAUCCAAAAUUGGAUGUGUUAGAAAUUAAGCAUAAUAAAUGGGCAAAAUAAUGAGGGCUAUUCUGCCCAUCAUUCCCUUUUGAUGCCCUCAAAAAGAGACUUUGGGGAGGAGCUGGCUACUAUGAUGCUGAAUG
Molecule: long non-coding RNA, 1786 nt
Organism: Mauremys reevesii (Reeves's turtle)
Lineage: Eukaryota; Metazoa; Chordata; Testudines; Geoemydidae
Exons: 3
Source: RefSeq, a predicted model, not a curated record